Molecule: ribosomal RNA, 244 nt
Filed under: uncultured bacterium
Lineage: Bacteria
Description: 16S ribosomal RNA
Rfam family: Bacterial small subunit ribosomal RNA
Source: RNAcentral
UGGCAGACGGGUGAGUAAGCGUGGGAACGUACCUUUUGGUUCGGAACAACACAGGGAAACUUGUGCUAAUACCGGAUAAGCCCUUACNGGGAAAGAUUUAUCNCCGAAAGAUCGCCCGCGUCUGAUUAGCUAGUUGGUGAGGUAACGGCUCACCAAGGCGACGAUCAGUAGCUGGUCUGAGAGGAUGAUCAGCCACAUUGGGACUGAGACACGGCCCAAACUCCUACNGNAGGCAGCAGUGGGA